GAUGAAGAACGUAGCGAAAUGCGAUAAGUAAUGUGAAUUGCAGAAUUCAGUGAAUCAUCGAAUCUUUGAACGCACCUUGCGCCCCUUGGUUAUUCCAAAGGGCAUGCCUGUUUGAGUAUCAUGAACACCUCAACUCUUGUGGUUUCCCACAAUGAGCUUGGACUGUGGAGGUUUUGUUGGCCCUGUGGUCAGCUCCUCUCAAAUGGAUCAGCUUACCGGUGUUUGGUGGCAUUACGGGUGUGAUAACUAUCUACGCUCGUGGUCGUCUCCAAAUAACCUCCAGUGAUGGAGGUUCGCUGGAGCUUAUAAAUGUCUCUCCCCAGAGAAGACAGCCUUUGAACGUUCGAUCUCAAAUCAGGUAGGACUACCCGCUGAACUUAAGCAUAUCAAUAAGCGGAGGA
This 401-nucleotide unclassified non-coding RNA is filed under the name soil metagenome. RNAcentral's name for it is "partial contains 5.8S ribosomal RNA, internal transcribed spacer 2, and large subunit ribosomal RNA". The stretch from base 1 to 121 matches the Rfam family "5.8S ribosomal RNA", at positions 35 to 154 of the family's 154-position model. The record is from RNAcentral.